Molecule: unclassified non-coding RNA, 309 nt
Filed under: plant metagenome
Description: partial contains 5.8S ribosomal RNA, internal transcribed spacer 2, and large subunit ribosomal RNA
Rfam family: 5.8S ribosomal RNA (bases 1-105)
Source: RNAcentral
GAAAUGCGAUAAGUAAUGUGAAUUGCGGAAUUCAGUGAAUCAUCGAAUCUUUGAACGCACAUUGCGCCCGCCAGUAUUCUGGCGGGCAUGCCUGUUCGAGCGUCAUUUCAACCAUCAAGCCCCCGGGCUUGUGUUGGGGACCUGCGGCUGCCGCAGGCCCCGAAAACCAGUGGCGGGCUCGCUGUCACACCGGGCGUAGUGGAUUUUUCGUCUCGCCCAGGGCGUGCUGCGGGUUCCGGCCGUUAAAAAGCCUCUCUUUUAACCCAAGGUUGACCUCGGAUCAGGUAGGAAGACCCGCUGAACUUAAGC